Long non-coding RNA from Oncorhynchus tshawytscha (Chinook salmon), 1248 nucleotides. The record is from Ensembl. Lineage: Eukaryota; Metazoa; Chordata; Actinopteri; Salmoniformes; Salmonidae.
UUUGAGCGAUCAAAAGAACCAUAACUGAUUUAAUGAGCCAUUCGCAGUUUCACUGUACCGGCCGUGUGUACUUAGACUUGCAUGGCUUAAUCUUUGAGACAAGCAUAUGCUACUGGCAGGAUCAACCAGGUAGCCACUCACAACUUAGAUGUUUGUACCUGGGCGCUCGAAGCAAACAACAACCAGGGACCGAUCCUAUCCCGUCAGGGGAGGAGGCCCUGGCGCUAUCCACCAAGCGCCCAGCGGGAGGCCCUGAACUGCCCAUGGAUCAACCAGGUAGCCACUCACAACAUAGAUGUUUGUACCUGGGCACUCGAAGCAAACAACACCAGGGACCGAUCCUAUCCCGUCAGGGGAGGAGGCCCUGGCACUAUCCACCAAGCACCCAGCGGGAGGCCCUGAACUGCCCAUGGCCGGAGCCACAGGUGCCGGGCGCCGCUCGAGAGGUCUCUUGUCUAGCUGGAGCGCCUAUUCGGAACGCCAUCAACUGGGCAAAAGGAACCACAACCUCGGAUAGACCGCUUGGGUCAACCGGGUAGGUCCACGUUUAAAGACAGGGUUUGAGAAUACGUGUUUCUGGCGCCGAUGCGUUACGGGAUGACCAUCACCACAUGCUUCGCAGCCUGAGUGUGCCACUCCCCGCACCGGAACACCAAUGGAGGGCCACUUGGUCAGACAGUUCGGCUCGACCUCGCACGAACUUUGCGCGGCUGGAGCGUAUCGAAAUAGGGGGCAAACGUUUCCGAAAGGGGCUCCCCCGAUAGAGGCAAAUCCACUUGGGUCGGGAGGGAACAUCCAUCAGAACACCAGCCAAAGACCGGCCGAUAGAGUCCCUCCCAGGUGGAAGACGAAUGCAAAUCAGUCAGAGGAAAUUAAAUUGGCUGGACAACAGAGGAGAACCAUGGAGACGUACCGUGAAACAAGUAUGGGACUGGACUGGAGAGCUAGCCCUCACCGGGACUAAGCAACCACCAAUCGGUCGCAGAAGGGACGGGCACCUUCAUUGGACCAGAACCAUGGUCAUUGAUGAACCAAACCCACAAGGUAAUAGCUGGGAUAGAGCCACUGCCCAGGACAGAGCUCAAUAUCCUCCCAUCACCAAGCUGGGAAACGUGGAUCAAAAGUUAGGACAAAUCGGACACCGGCGGCAAAUGUCCAAAGUACCAUGGUUCCGAGGGGCUCACAUCCCUCAAAAGUGCCCAGUACUCAGUUUCUAUUCGGGCUGAUCAGUUUGACACCACCCCCGUC